ACGGGGGGGGCAAGCGUUGUUCGGAUUUACUGGGCGUAAAGGGCGCGUAGGCGGCCACCGCAAGUCGGUUGUGAAAUCUCUGGGCUUAACCCAGAAAGGUCAAUCGAUACUGCGGGGCUAGAGUGCAGAAGGGGCAACUGGAAUUCUCGGUGUAGCGGUGAAAUGCGUAGAUAUGCGGAGGAACACCGAUGGCGAAGGCAAUCUCCUGGGCCUGUACUGACGCUCAUGCACGAAAGCGUGGGGAGCAAACAGGA
Molecule: ribosomal RNA, 254 nt
Filed under: uncultured prokaryote
Description: partial 16S ribosomal RNA
Rfam family: Bacterial small subunit ribosomal RNA
Source: RNAcentral